AGCGAACGCUGGCGGCAGGCCUAACACAUGCAAGUCGAACGAACUCUUCGGAGUUAGUGGCGGACGGGUGAGUAACACGUGGGAACGUGCCUUUUGGUUCGGAAUAACUCAGGGAAACUUGUGCUAAUACCGAAUGUGCCCUUCGGGGGAAAGAUUUAUCGCCAUUAGAGCGGCCCGCGUCUGAUUAGCUAGAUGGUGAGGUAACGGCUCACCAAGGCGACGAUCAGUAGCUGGUCUGAGAGGAUGACCAGCCACACUGGGACUGAGACACGGCCCAGACUCCUACGGGAGGCAGCAGUGGGGAAUCUUGCGCAAUGGGCGAAAGCCUGACGCAGCCAUGCCGCGUGAAUGAUGAAGGUCUUAGGAUUGUAAAAUUCUUUCACCGGGGACGAUAAUGACGGUACCCGGAGAAGAAGCCCCGGCUAACUUCGUG
Molecule: ribosomal RNA, 433 nt
Filed under: uncultured bacterium
Lineage: Bacteria
Description: partial 16S ribosomal RNA
Rfam family: Bacterial small subunit ribosomal RNA
Source: RNAcentral